This 433-nucleotide ribosomal RNA is filed under the name uncultured bacterium. RNAcentral's name for it is "partial 16S ribosomal RNA". It matches the Rfam family "Bacterial small subunit ribosomal RNA", at positions 29 to 507 of the family's 1533-position model. The record is from RNAcentral.
AGCGAACGCUGGCGGCAGGCUUAACACAUGCAAGUCGAGCGGGCCCUUCGGGGUCAGCGGCGGACGUGUGAGUAACGCGUGGGAACGUUCCUUCUGGUCUGGAAUAACCCUGUGAAACUAAGGCUAAUACCGGAUACGCCCUUUUGGGGAAAGGUUUACUGCCGGAAGAUCGGCCCGCGUCUGAUUAGCUAGUUGGGGGGGUAACGGCCUACCAAGGCGACGAUCAGUAGCUGGUCUGAGAGGAUGAUCAGCCACACUGGGACUGAGACACGGCCCAGACUCCUACGGGAGGCAGCAGUGGGGAAUAUUGGACAAUGGGCGCAAGCCUGAUCCAGCCAGGCCGGGUGAGUGAUGAAGGCCUUAGGGUUGUAAAGCUCUUUUAUCCGGGACGAUAAUGACGGUACCGGAGGAAUAAGCCCCGGCUAACUUCGUG